GUGCCAGGCUAUGCGUUAGCG
Molecule: microRNA, 21 nt
Filed under: Schistosoma mansoni
Lineage: Eukaryota; Metazoa; Platyhelminthes; Trematoda; Strigeidida; Schistosomatidae
Description: sma-miR-8471-3p
Source: miRBase by way of RNAcentral